GACGAACGCUGGCGGCGUGCUUAACACAUGCAAGUCGAACGGAAAGGCCCUGCUCUUGCGGGGUGCUUGAGUGGCGAACGGGUGAGUAACACGUGAGUAACCUGCCCUUGACUUUGGGAUAACUCCAGGAAAAUGGGGCUAUUACCGGAUAGGAGCUCCUGCUGCACGGUGGGGGUUGGAAAGAUUCGGCGGUUGGGGCUGGACUCGCGGCUUAUGCGCUUGUUGGUGGGGUAGUGGCUUACAAAGGUUUUGACGGGUAGCCGGCCUGAGAGGGUAACCGGCCACAUUGGGACUGAGAGACGGCGCAGACGCCUACGGGAGGCAGCAGUGGGGAAUAUUGCACAAUGGGGGGAAGCGUGAUGCGGCGACGCCGCGUGCGGGAUGACGGCCUUCGGGGUAUAAACCGCUUUCGCCUGUGACGAGGCGUGAGUGACGGUAGUGGGUAAAGAAGCACCGGCUAACUACGUG
This 468-nucleotide ribosomal RNA is filed under the name uncultured bacterium. Its description in RNAcentral is "partial 16S ribosomal RNA". It matches the Rfam family "Bacterial small subunit ribosomal RNA", at positions 28 to 507 of the family's 1533-position model. The record is from RNAcentral.